Molecule: long non-coding RNA, 612 nt
Organism: Amphimedon queenslandica
Lineage: Eukaryota; Metazoa; Porifera; Demospongiae; Haplosclerida; Niphatidae
Exons: 2
Source: RefSeq, a predicted model, not a curated record
AGAAAGAAAGGAAGGGGACAGGACAGUAGAAAGGUCAUUAUAAUUAGACAGUAAAUGACUUUAUGUUUAGAGAAAGAUAUCUAUUUGAUGUCUAGUAAUUAUUGAGUGAGAAUGAAAACAGUCUGUUACUAAUGCAAUUCAAAAAUACCAGGACCUAACUAAGCAAUCACUGCAUCAAGUCAUAUCUUAAACCUUUUUGGAGUACAUGUACAUGUACAUCUAUACAUGUGAAUUACUAAACAUGUGUAGUUGUGUACUGUUAUGUGAGACAAAAUUUAUUAUUAUUACUACUAUUAUUUAAAGUAGAGGAAAACACAGAAGCCAUUCAGUCUUCUAGGAAUUUUACAAUGUGAUGUAUUUCUCAGCCUGUUCACACAACCUAAUAUGUUUUGGUGUUCUUGUAUCCUAAAUUCCACAUCAUUGCUACACAAUGAGCUAAUAGUUAAUUGGCUGAUGCUGGCAUAUCAUCUUUGCUGAGUCAUUCCUAGAGAAAUGGCUGAAUCAAAUGUAAGCAGUACUAAAGGAGGAAUAGACUUCGAAUGUUUCUGUAAAAGUGGCAUUCAAAGUUAUACUUUCAAUCCUGUUAAUUUGGCUGAUGAUGAAAAUGAAAAA